Molecule: long non-coding RNA, 2946 nt
Organism: Lycium barbarum (goji berry)
Lineage: Eukaryota; Viridiplantae; Streptophyta; Magnoliopsida; Solanales; Solanaceae
Exons: 3
Source: RefSeq, a predicted model, not a curated record
CUGUCCUUUAAUUAGAGACACCGAUUUCAUAGCCUAAUAAUCUGAUUUUACAUUUUAUUGCUCUAAGUUCAAGAACUCAACUUUCUCUCUCUUCUUUACUCCUUCAAGCCCACCACUGUUCUCGUUCAUUUCUGAACUUUUUUCCGGGCUUCUCCACGCUUUUCACUAUUUUAAAUUAGAGACGAAUUUAGAAUUUCAAGAGAAUAAAUUUAGUAUUAGCUAUGGGGUGUUUUGAUUUCUUUUAUCUUUGAUUUGUUACAGCUUAGCGUCUAUGAGGUUUUUGAUUUUUUUUUGCCUUUAAAAUUUGGGUAAUUAGAAAUAACCGAAAAAGAAAAUCACUAGAUGUAAUAUAAAAAAAACACCUUUUUUAGUUUUGGGUAAUUAAAAUUAUAAAAGAAAAAUAAUUUAGAGUAUUAUAAAAAAGAAAUUUAAAAGGCGGUUUUAGAAAAUAAAAGCAUAUAACGUGCAGGAGCUCGGGUUCAAAUCCAAGACUUUGAGAAAAUAAACUCAGCCUAAUUUGAUCAUGUGAAUCAUGUGUUCUUUCAGGUCUGUGAUGGUCGUUAGAGUUUCGAGGCUUUAAAUUGGGCUCUCUAAUGUGUACAUGUGUUUGGCCGUGUUAGAGUUUCGAGGCUUUAAAUUGGGCUCUCUAAUGGAUAUGGAAGGCUAAUGUGUACAUGUGUUUGGCCGUGUGAGCGUGGUACAGUACGUACCUUUGUUGGGGAUCUUUCAAAGAUUGGUUUUUUUAUCGAGGGGAGAAGGUUGACCUUUUGGAAGAUGAGUGCGCCGAUAAUUCUAUGCUGCUGUUCGAUUUUAUCCUAAUGAGAAGAUACUUCUCGCAUCGAAAGGGUACCCUGUAUUUUAACUAAAACAUCACAGAUGAGUAUUCAAUUCUUUGUUUAUUAAGCAGAAAAUUCAUCUAUUCACUUGUGACAAUGAUGUCACCUUUCCUGUGUCGCUACUUAUAUGAUAAUUCUUUUUAUAAGUACUACUUAUUUAAUUAUAACUGUUAUGUUACUUUUUUGAAGUAAAAGAGCCAUGAAACUGAAGGAAGCUUUCAAAAGCAAAGUUGCUGUAAUUUAGAAAGAAAUCUGGUAACUUUAGUACCUUUGAGCAGUACUAAUGGGCUAUACCAGUUGCUCUAUUUUUUUCAUUUUUUUUGGGGGAAGUAUUAUGUAAAGAGUGAAUAAUCGAUGUGGAGAUCCCCUAUUAACUUUGAAUGAUAAUUUUGUUUAUGAGAUGAGUAUUAUAAUUUUAUCCGUUGUGAAUCGUAGUUGUAUAACUCAUAAAAUGAUAUUGCUCCAGCUACUUUAUAAUUGUUAAGAAAAAGCUUGUGAUUUUCACUUUAAUGGUACAUAUAUUAUAACGAUGUUCUCUUUAAUUUCUAUUCAAUAUGAGUUUGAUAUUUAUGACAAGUCAACUUUUUUAUGUUAUCACAACUUAACUAUCAGUUUAUAUCAAUUGACUAUAUUCCAUUCUCAUAAAUAUUGUGCAAAUGCGAAUAAUUAAUGGGCUGAGAUUUUUAAAGCUGAUGCUCUUGAUUUAUGAUGAUUUACUUAUAUGUUUUUCAUCAUUGCAUUCGCCAUUGAAGUCUCUUUGUCAACAUGUUGUUUGAUAUUGCAUUUUUUUUUAAAAGAUAGUUCCAGAUGUUGGAAAUGUGCUAAUACAUAUGGAGGAUGCUUACAAAAGGGGAUGAGAGUUGUGUCAAGUUUGACAUGUAUAAAGUGAUAGAAUAUCUAAAUAUUAAUUAGAAGAUUUUGUAGUCUACUAUUUUAGGUUAGCAUAUUUUGUAUAAUGUAUAAUCUCCUAUUUUAGGUUAGAAUAUUAUUCUGUUAUUUUGUAUAUAAACCAAUUCAAGUAAUGAAAGGAUUCAAGGAAAAUAUUUCUUAAAUGGUAUCAGAAUAGGGUUUUUUUCUUCUUGCUCCUUCCGCUACGCCCUAAAUCCUUAUUUUUUGUUUUCCUUCCUAAGCCGUCGCCCCCUUCCUUUUCUUUUCCCAUGGCCGACGCACCAACCACCCCGGCUAAGCCCACGUUCCACCCGGCCCUCACGGUCUCCAAUAUCAAGAAUCACAUCUCUGUUACUCUUGAGAUGGAAAACUCACAAUAUGGUACAUGGGCCGAGCUUUUCAAAAUUCAUGCUUGUUCUCACAAGGUCCUUCAUCACAUCAUUCCUCCACCUAAGGGUACGGAGAAGCCGGCUCCCAAAACUGAUGAGGAAAUUGAAUUAUGGACCACCAUUGACGCCACCGUGCUUCAAUGGAUUUAUUCGACGAUUUCGAAUGAUCUGUUAAACACUAUCAUCGAACCGGAUGCUACUACCAUGGAGGCUUGGGACCGCUUACGUGAUAUCUUCCAAGAUCAUCAAACUUCUCGUGCGGUGACUUUUGAACAAGAAUUCACGACGACUCGUAUGGAGGAUUUUUCCAAUGCCUCCGCCUAUUGUCAACGUCUCAAGAGCCUUGCCGAUCAACUGAAAAACGUUGGGGCUCCCGUGACGAAUAGCCGCCUUGUCCUUCAACUGGUCUCGGGUCUCACUGACGCAUACAAAGGGGUUGGGACACAAAUUCGCCAUGCCAAGCAACUCCCACCAUUUACUGAGGCUCGGUCUUCUCUUGUUUUGGAGGAACGUGAACUUACGGCUAUGGUGUCUCACGGGUCUGGUUCGGCUAUGGUGGCCUCAGUCGAUGACGCGCCACUCCCCUCGGAUAACUCAAGCUCACGCCGAGGAAAAUCAAAAAAUUCCCACGGCUGUAAGGGGGGCUCGGGCCGCGGCUCAGGCAGCGGCAAAAUCACCGGUGGCCGCGGUAAUUCUGCCCGAAGCAGCGGCGGUUAGCAGCAAUGGAUUACCGGCAGUGGCGGUCAGCAGCAGUUCGGCCACUGGCAAUGGGUCCCCCAGCCCCGCUGGGCAGCCCCUUCUCCCUGCCCGUACCCGACAGUCUCUUGGGCUCG